AGAUGUGUAUAAGAGACAGAUUGAUAGCAGUAUCCUGAGUAGUGCGGGGCACGUGAAACCUUGCAUGAAUUUGCCGGGACCAUCCGGUAAGGCUAAAUACUCCUGAGAGACCGAUAGUGAACCAGUACCGUGAGGGAAAGGUGAAAAGAACCGUGAAUAACGGAGUGAAAUAGAUCCUGAAACCAUACGCUUACAAGCGGUCGGAGUCUGCCAUUGGUGGAUGACGGCGUGCCUUUUGCAUAAUGAGCCUACGAGUUACCGUUGCUAGCAUGGUUAAUCGAUUCAGUCGAGGAUCCGCAGCGAAAGCGAGUCUGAAUAGGGCGCUAGAGUUAGUAGUGGUCGACGCGAAACCGAGUGAUCUACCCAUGAGCAGGUUGAAGCUUUGUUAACCCAAAGUGGAGGACCGAACCCGUGGUCGUUGAAAAGUCUUGGGAUGACUUGUGGGGAGGGGUGAAAGGCCAAGCAAACUCGGAAAUAGCUCGUACUCCCCGAAAUGCAUUUAGGUGCAGCGUUGUAAAAGUUCUAUAGAGGUAGAGCUACUGAUUGGAUGCGGGGGCUUCACCGCCUACCAAUUCCUGACAAACUCCGAAUGCUAUAGAAUGAUUUACAGCAGUGAGGGCAUGGGUGCUAAGGUCCAUGUCCGAGAGGGAAAGAACCCGGACCAUCAGCUAAGGUCCCCAAGUGUAUACUAAGUUGAAUAAACGAGGUUUGACUGCCCAGACAGCUAGGAUGUUGGCUUGGAAGCAGCCAUUCAUUUAAAGAGUGCGUAACAGCUCACUAGUCGAGCGGUCGAGCAUGGAUAAUAAUCGGGCAUAAGUAUACCACCGAAGCUGUGGCAUCGAAAGAUGGGUAGGGGAGCAUUCUCUGGGCGUUGAAGGGGAACUGCGAGGUUUGCUGGAGCGCAUAGAAAAGAAAAUGUCGGCAUAAGUAACGAUAAUGCGGGCGAGAAACCCGCACACCGAAAGACUAAGGUUUCCUCAGCUAUGCUAAUCAGCUGAGGGUUAGUCGGGACCUAACGCGAACCCGAAGGGGGUAGUGGAUGGACAACCAGUUAAUAUUCUGGUACCUGCCGGCGCUAAACGUGACGGAGGGGAUGAGUUAUUGCGUACUGACGGAAUAGUACGUUGAAGCAACUGUUAAGGUUGUGAUAGUACACCAAGGCUUCGGCUGCGGUGAUAAUAUAGCGACUCCACUUCCAAGAAAAGCAAGCCAGGCAGCCCGUACCGUAAACCGACACAGGUAGU
This 1244-nucleotide ribosomal RNA is filed under the name Candidatus Neptunichlamydia sp. Its description in RNAcentral is "partial 23S ribosomal RNA". It matches the Rfam family "Bacterial large subunit ribosomal RNA", at positions 369 to 1667 of the family's 2925-position model. The record is from RNAcentral. Lineage: Bacteria; Pseudomonadati; Chlamydiota; Chlamydiia; Parachlamydiales; Simkaniaceae.